GGAGAGCUCUGACUGGCCGUUCCCGCAUGGCGCCCCUGAGGGGCGCGAGCGCCAGGGCCGUUCCCUUCUCGCUGGCGUCGCCCGCGGGUGACUGGCCCGGACAGCGCUGAGGUGGCCCGCUCCGGCGCCGCGCGGGCUCUGGCUCCGCCGCAGGCGCUGAGGUAGCCGAGGGGUCGUCGACGUGGGCGGUCUGUCCAGUCCCCUCGGCCGUCAAACGAGACUCCUCUCGCGGAAUGCCCGCCUCACCUCGGACUUCCAGCUUCCCAGUCCUGAGCCCGCCACGUGUGUGAGGGGAGAGGUUGGGGACCGUAACGAAAACCCGGGUCAGAGCAGUCCUGGCUCGAACGUGCAGGUGAGGUGCAAGGCGCCUGUGCCCUGGCGACGGCCGAGUGCCGGAGCGGGGAGGGGUCUGAGGUUAAAGAGCAAACGCAGCGGAACCGGGGAUGUGGAAGAAACUAUGUGUAGACUGGAAGUGAGCAAUUAAAUGAGAGCUUGGUGGACGGUCGCCGGCACGCCUGUCACUGUUGAGUGGCAGGUUGCACAGGAGCAAGGGGAGGAGGCUAGAGCCAGCCACGUGGUACUACUGGAUGAGAGGUGAAGACAAUAUACCGGCCCCCGUCUGGCUUAGCCACUUGCAGGAAAAAAAAAAGGUUACAGGGUCUGGGCAUAGUCACACAGCCUGCAUCUUACAUGAGCACUGGUUGGAGUUCCUGCUGCUGCACUUCUGACCCAGCUCUGUGCUAAUGCGCCUGGGGAAACAGCAGAGGAUGGUCCAAGUGCUUGGACUCCUGCCACACACAAGGAAAACCAGGAUGAAGUUCCAGGAUCCUGGCCAUUUGAGGAACGAACCAGCAAAUGGAAAAACAGUUUACAACACAGUAGCUGAUGACCUGCUCAGGUACAUCUCAUGUGGACUAUUGCAGUGGCCUUCUAGUUUGUCUUGGCAUUUAAACUCUUAUAGCUGAAAGGCAUUACCUAAUUCAAUACUCCCAUUUUGUAUAGAGAGAGCCUUGACAAGAGAACUUCAUGCCUACAGUGACACAGUCAUAUGAUAUGGAUUUCAGCACACCACUGGCUUAGCUAAGUCAAGGUGUAUCUGCUGAACCACUGAGAACUUUAAAUAUUUAACAAACAACCUGGGAAGUGAACUCAACUUGUGCCCACUGCUAAGAGACUUCUGACAAACAUGAGGUUACCUACUGGUAAAGAAUAUCUAAGAAUCCUCCAGUACCAGAACUCACCCACAGGGCAGAAAGGUCCAGGUGUGAUGAGCUUGGACCAAGAGGUUAAAGAGUUAAAUAAGAGAAUGAGCUGCAGUGAGGUCUCCUGGGUGCAGUCCUGGAUUCCAAGGACAGAGAGGAUCAUAAGUGAAAAGUGAGGGAGCCGAGCACCAAA
Long non-coding RNA from Lepus europaeus (European hare), 1395 nucleotides. RefSeq lists it as uncharacterized. The transcript has 3 exons. NCBI's taxonomy places the organism in Eukaryota, Metazoa, Chordata, Mammalia, Lagomorpha, Leporidae. The record is from RefSeq and is a predicted model, not a curated record.